Long non-coding RNA from Strongylocentrotus purpuratus (purple sea urchin), 442 nucleotides. RefSeq lists it as uncharacterized. The record is from RefSeq and is a predicted model, not a curated record. The transcript has 3 exons. Lineage: Eukaryota; Metazoa; Echinodermata; Echinoidea; Camarodonta; Strongylocentrotidae.
CCAGAGAGAAGAACAGAAAAUCGCCCACGGGAAAUAAUCUGCGUCGUCACAAAUCACCGGUCGAACUGUGGGUCAAAAAAAGUUCUGUGAUCUCUAUAAAUACAGGUCCUAUUUCUGAAAGAGUAUCAGUUGAAACUUAGGAACCAGCUUAGAAAAGUGGCAAAAAGGUAACAAUAUAGCAUCGCAGGUGAAAAAGAAAAGAGGCAAACAGCAGAACAAUUAUAGAUCUGGAUAUACUUUCACAACUUGGCAAAAGGCAACGGAGUUCGAGUGCAAUAUAGUUAGUGUGCAAUUUGCAAGAUGGAGCUCUCGGUGAUUUUUGUGUGCAUGGGCGUUUUGCUCAUGGGCACCGCAAACGCGGAGUAUAACUACAAGACAGGGUUUCUGAACGCGCAGGGAGUCCCCGAUGGUGGGAUGGAUGUUGUACCACCAUCAUUCGAAG